RNAcentral lists this unclassified non-coding RNA (810 nucleotides) under Hevea brasiliensis (rubber tree). The record is from RNAcentral. Lineage: Eukaryota; Viridiplantae; Streptophyta; Magnoliopsida; Malpighiales; Euphorbiaceae.
UUCAAAUAUGAAUAUGACACUUUAAUAUUUCAAAUUAGUGAAGACUUUAUGCAAAGAUUGAAAAUUAAGCAAGUUUGAUUCCAUGUAGCGUAGUACCGCUAUGGAGCCAAAAGUGAGAGCAAUGCUUGACUAAGAAAACAAAGAGACUACAAAGCUACUAAUAGAGUUUAACAUAAAGGGAAUUUGCUGCUCUUUGUUUUACGUAUAUAGGCAUACUUGGUUUUGAUUUCAUUUAUCUUUUUAAAGGAACAUUGGCAUUUUUUAUCCGAGGAAGAGCUUCAUAUCUUCAGACUAGUUGUUACUACCGAGGUUAAGUUCUCUCUUGAAUGAUUUUAAGUAAGCACUCUCGUAGUGCUUUCCAAUAGAGUUGAACUUUAAUUGAUAAUAAAGGGGAUUUCCAUUCUUACUAAUUGAUGGAUUACUUUAUGCUUCUAUAAUGGUUUCUUUGCUGUUGUAGUAGAAUUUAGUUAGAUUUUUUUAUUAGAGAGAAUUUUAUUUUGUCUUUGUUAAGAAAUUUAUAUGCGACUUUGAAACAAAAUACUUAGAGCUGAAAUUGAAACAAAACGCUUAAGAUGAAAUGGAAGAGCUCAACAAAAUCGUCUUAUUUUAGUAGCUGCUCUCCUUGUAUACAACAGAUUAGAAAAAAUAAAAAAACAUAAAAUAGCGGGAAACUACAGCUAAGUGUCGACUGGUAGAUAGCCAUUAUUGACUUUUCUUAACUAGCUAACAAACUGAAUUUAGCUAACUAAUUAAAUUAAAAUUAGCUGUACGGACUUGAUGAGAAAUCUUUUUAUGGUAAAAGACGAUGGG